RNAcentral lists this long non-coding RNA (1326 nucleotides) under Nothobranchius furzeri (turquoise killifish). RNAcentral describes it as "lncRNA (ENSNFUG00015025276.1)". The record is from RNAcentral. Lineage: Eukaryota; Metazoa; Chordata; Actinopteri; Cyprinodontiformes; Nothobranchiidae.
AUGCGUGUGUGUGGAGUUGGCGUGUUCUCUUCAUGUGUGUGUGUGUGUGUGGAGCUGACAUGUUCUCAUGCUUGUGUGGAGUUGGCAUGUUCUCAUGCGUGUGUGGAGUUGGCGUGUUCUCAUGCGUGUGUGGAGUUGGUGUGUUCUCAUGCGUGUGUGGAGUUGGCGUGUUCUCCUCAUGCGCGUGUGGAGUUGAUGUGUUCUUCUCAUGCGCGUGUGGAGUCGAUGUGUUCUCCUCACACGUGUGUGGAGUUGGCUUGUUCUCCUCAUGCGUGUGUGGAGUUGACGUGUUCUCAUGCGUGUGUGUGGAGUUGGCGUGUUCUCCUCAUGUGUGUGUGGAGUUGGCGUGUUCUCAUGCCUGUGUGGAGUUGGUGUGUUCUCCUCGUGCACUUGUGUGGAGUUGGUGUGUUCUUCUCAUGCAUGUGUGUAGCUGGCGUGCUCUCAUGCGUGCGUGGAGUUGGCAUGUUCUCCUCAUGUGUGUGUGUGGUGUUGGCGUGUUCUCAUGCGUGUGUGGAGUUGGAGUGUUCUCAUGAGUGUGAUGUUGGCAUGUUCUCAUGCGUGUGUGGAGUUGGCAUGUUCUCUUCAUGUGUGUGUGUGGAGCUGGCGUGUUCUCAUGUGUGUGUGGAGCUGGCGUGUUCUCAUGCGUGUAUGUGGAGCUGGCAUGUUCUCUUCAUGCGUGUGCGUGUUGAGCUGGCGUAUUCUCCUCAUGCGUGUGUGUGGAGCUGGCGUGUUCUCAUGCGUGUGUGUGGAGCUGGUGUGUUCUCUUCAUGCGUAUGCAUGUGGAGUUGGUGUGUUCUCAUGUGUGUGUGGAGUUGGCGUGUUCUCCUCAUAAGCAUGUGUGUGUGGAGCUGGUGUGUUCUCUUCAUGCGUGUGCAUGUGGAGUUGGUGUGUUCUCAUGUGUGUGUGGAGCUGGCAUGUUCUCAUGCAUGUGUGGAGCUGGCGUGUUCUCGUGUGUGUGUGGAGCUGGCAUGUUCUCAUGUUGGCGUGUUCUCCUCAUGCGUGUGUGUGGAGCUGGCAUGUUCUCAUGCAUGUGUGUGGAGCUGGCGUGUUCUCUUUGUGCGUGUGUGUGGAGCUGGCGUGUUCUCAUGCAUGUGUGUGGAGCUGGCAUGUUCUCAUCUAUGUGUGUGGAGUUGGCGUGUUCUCUUCAUGUGUGUGUGGAGCUGGCGUGUUCUCAUGCGUGUGUGGAGCUGGCGUGUUCUCAUUCAUGUGUGGAGUUGGAGUGUUCUCAUGCAUGUGUGGAGCUGGCGUGUUCUCCUCAUGCAUGCAUGGAGCUGGCUUGCUUUCCUCAUGCAUGUGUGGAGUUUGUCAGCAACUUUGUUUUGCUGA